RNAcentral lists this ribosomal RNA (819 nucleotides) under uncultured bacterium. RNAcentral describes it as "bacterial SSU rRNA". It matches the Rfam family "Bacterial small subunit ribosomal RNA", at positions 8 to 796 of the family's 1533-position model. The record is from RNAcentral.
AGAGUUUGAUCCUGGCUCAGGACGAACGCUGGCGGCGUGCCUAACACAUGCAAGUCGAACGGAGAAUUUCAAAGAGCUUGCUUAGAGAAAUUUUUAGUGGCGGACGGGUGAGUAACGCGUGGGUAACCUACCCAUAAACCCGGGACAACCCUUGGAAACGAGGGCUAAUACCGGAUAAUCUUUGAGAGUGGCAUCACUCUUUAAGAAAAGGUGGCCUCUGAAAAUGCUACCGAUUAUGGAUGGACCCGCGUCUGAUUAGCUAGUUGGUGGGGUAAAGGCCUACCAAGGCGACGAUCAGUAGCCGGCCUGAGAGGGUGAACGGCCACACUGGGACUGAGACACGGCCCAGACUCCUACGGGAGGCAGCAGUGGGGAAUCUUCCGCAAUGGACGAAAGUCUGACGGAGCAACGCCGCGUGUAUGAUGAAGGUCUUCGGAUUGUAAAGUACUGUCUUUGGGGAAGAACGAUUGGUUUGAAAAUAUUGAGCCAAUAUGACGGUACCCAAGGAGGAAGCCCCGGCUAACUACGUGCCAGCAGCCGCGGUAAUACGUAGGGGGCAAGCGUUGUCCGGAAUUAUUGGGCGUAAAGGGCGCGUAGGCGGAUAGUUAAGUCCGGUGUGAAAGAUCAGGGCUCAACCCUGGAAGUGCAUUUGAAACUGCCAGACUUGAGUACGGGAGAGGGAGGUGGAAUUCCCAGUGUAGAGGUGAAAUUCGUUGAUAUUGGGAGGAACACCGGUGGCGAAAGCGGCCUCCUGGACCGAUACUGACGCUGAGGCGCGAAAGCGUGGGGAGCAAACAGGAUUAGAUACCCUGGUAGUCC